UAAUGAUGCUUCAAUAUUUCGUGAUAGU
This 28-nucleotide small RNA is filed under the name Bombyx mori (domestic silkworm). RNAcentral's name for it is "ovarian small RNA-19739". The record is from RNAcentral. Lineage: Eukaryota; Metazoa; Arthropoda; Insecta; Lepidoptera; Bombycidae.